GAUGAACGCUGGCGGCGUGCCUAAUACAUGCAAGUAGAACGCUGAAGGAGGAGCUUGCUCUUCUGGAUGAGUUGCGAACGGGUGAGUAACGCGUAGGUAACCUGCCUGGUAGCGGGGGAUAACUAUUGGAAACGAUAGCUAAUACCGCAUGACAACAGUUAUUGCAUGAUAACUGUUUAAAAGGGGCAACUGCUCCACUACCAGAUGGACCUGCGUUGUAUUAGCUAGUUGGUGAGGUAACGGCUCACCAAGGCGACGAUACAUAGCCGACCUGAGAGGGUGAUCGGCCACACUGGGACUGAGACACGGCCCAGACGCCUACGGGAGGCAGCAGUAGGGAAUCUUCGGCAAUGGACGGAAGUCUGACCGAGCAACGCCGCGUGAGUGAAGAAGGUUGUCGGAUCGUAAAGCUCUGUUAUAAGAGAAGAACGAGUGUGAGAGUGGAAAGUUCACACUGUGACGGUAUCUUACCAGAAAGGGACGGCUAACUACGUG
Molecule: ribosomal RNA, 495 nt
Filed under: uncultured bacterium
Lineage: Bacteria
Description: partial 16S ribosomal RNA
Rfam family: Bacterial small subunit ribosomal RNA
Source: RNAcentral